Molecule: ribosomal RNA, 401 nt
Filed under: bacterium enrichment culture clone ALO1_GLFRUDD03G90W8
Lineage: Bacteria
Description: bacterial SSU rRNA
Rfam family: Bacterial small subunit ribosomal RNA
Source: RNAcentral
GAGUUUGAUCCUGGCUCAGAUUGAACGCUGGCGGCAUGCCUUACACAUGCAAGUCGAACGGCAGCACGGGAGCUUGCUCCUGGUGGGCGAGUGGCGAACGGGUGAGUAAUGCAUCGGAACGUAUCCUGGAGUGGGGGAUAACGUUUCGAAAGGAACGCUAAUACCGCAUACGUCCUACGGGAGAAAGCAGGGGGACCUUCGGGCCUUGCGCUAUCAGAUGAGCCUAGGUCGGAUUAGCUAGUUGGUGGGUAAUGGCUCACCAAGGCGACGAUCCGUAACUGGUCUGAGAGGAUGAUCAGUCACACUGGAACUGAGACACGGUCCAGACUCUACGGGAGGCAGCAGUGGGGAAUAUUGGACAAUGGGCGAAAGCCUGAUCCAGCCAUGCCGCGUAUGUGAAG